RNAcentral lists this transfer RNA (74 nucleotides) under Candidatus Delongbacteria bacterium. Its description in RNAcentral is "tRNA-Arg". It matches the Rfam family "tRNA". Rfam says of the family: Transfer RNA (tRNA) molecules are approximately 80 nucleotides in length. Their secondary structure includes four short double-helical elements and three loops (D, anti-codon, and T loops). The record is from RNAcentral. Lineage: Bacteria; Candidatus Delongiibacteriota.
GCGCCUGUAGCUCAGUUGGAUAGAGCGUCGGACUUCGAAUCCGCAGGUCGGGGGUUCGAGCCCCUCCAGGCGCG